This is a long non-coding RNA of Pieris rapae (cabbage white), 603 nucleotides long. RefSeq lists it as uncharacterized. Lineage: Eukaryota; Metazoa; Arthropoda; Insecta; Lepidoptera; Pieridae. The record is from RefSeq and is a predicted model, not a curated record. The transcript is spliced from 2 exons.
CUGUGGCAAGACUACAAUAUUAUUAUAUAUACUUGCAAUUACUGGCAAGUGGCAUAUCAGUGAUCUGUGGUGUCGAAAAAGAAUUUAAUGAUUAUAUUUAAAAUUUUAUUACAAAAUAAAAUAAAUAUUGCUAUACGUGGUCUGCGAGUUACUGAUUCUUACGCUAUUUUUUACUAAGUAUUAAGUAAAAUGUAUUUUCAAUUAAUAAUUGUAAUAUUUUCUUUUCUAACAAUAAGUAAUGUUGAAGCUUCGCAAGGAUACGAUUUUGGCGACUUUCUAGCUACUAUAUUGGGAAUAGGCAUUUCUGUUAUCGGAAUUCUGGCCUGUUUGGGCAACUAUGCUAGACAAAGAGCACGAAACGAGUUUAUUUAAAGUUAAUGAUGUAUAUUUUCUCUGUAAAUUAUUACAGGAUUCAUCAAAAAAUAUUAACAGCCUACAAGUAAAUUUAUGAAUACAUAUUGUUAAAAUAAUCAAAUAUUUGUUAUCUUGCCGUACCAUUUUGCACCUAUAUGUGUAAAUAUAUGUAAGUGGUAAUCUAAGAAACUGUUUGAAUUAAAAUGUAAUCAUUAUUUUGAAUAUUUCUUAUAAAGUGCUAUUUUCAUU